GUAGAUGAGGCAGCGCAGGGGCUGCCGCUUCGCCGCCUGCUGCUUCGCCACGAAGGGGUUCCCGUGCUGUGGGAGCGAGUCUGGGACCACUGGUCGGAACUGAGAAUUCCAGCUGUGUGUCAGGGCUAGGAGGGCUCCGGGAUGCGCGCGAGGUAAGGAACUGGUGCUACGCUGUUCUCCUUUGUUCUCCUGACCCCUGGGAAUUCUGGGAAAGUCGUUCACAAGAGACUUGAGUUUCGAUUCACCUGACUGUAAAAGUGCUGACAAUGAGUGUUUCCACUGUUCCUGUGACAGAGAGCCUGGACUUCAGCUGCUGAAGAAGAACUCGGACCUAACCCUCCAGAGCGGGACCUUUACUUUGGCACAUAUUUGGCCCUUAGCUAAACAAAAAUUGAAAAGGGGAGAUUUAAAAUUUUCAUCUAAUUGAGACUUUAUAUAAUAGAUCUUUUUCUUAUUUUAUUGUGGCAACAAGAGGAGAGAUUGCAUUCUUGAGUUUUUAUUGUUGGAAUGUAAUAAUCCUGGCUAUUCCACUGCUCUUGUGGAGUUGUUUGGUCUAUGCUGGUACAUGGUACUUGCUAUGAAACACUGUCUGGUGAACUGGAUAGGCAAGUAGCUAAAGAAAACGUCAUAAGAAACAGAAAUAGGAGUUGAGUCCAAUCUCUCUCCUGCACUGCAAGAUUCUGUUGCAGUGGUCCCUACACCUAUUGCCAUAGCACCCCCAAAUUUUCUUUAAAGCUAAGCAAAUAGAAAUAGAGGAUGGAUUCUCAAGUAGAUAUACCAAGUAAGGGAGGAGACCACCCCUCACCAUCUUAUGCCCAAUUUCUGCCUCCAAAGAAAGAAGAAGUAAAAACUGAAAGGCGGAAAUGAAAUCCACAGGCAGACAGCCAGGUGCUGCACCCUGGGCCCAGUAGUUGAAGAUUAACCCCUGACGUAUCUAUAGAUUACAGACAUUGUAUAGAAAUGCACUGUGAAGCCGGGCGCGGUGGCUCAAGCCUGUAAUCCCAGCACUUUGGGAGGCCGAGACGGGCGGAUCACGAGGUCAGGAGAUCGAGACCAUCCUGGCUAACACAGUGAAACCCCGUCUCUACUAAAAAAUACAAAAAACUAGCCGGGCGAGGUGGUGGGCGCCUGUAGUCCCAGCUACUCGGGAGGCUGAGGCAGGAGAAUGGCGUAAACCCGGGAGGCGGAGCUUGCAGUGAGCUGAGAUCCGGCCACUGCACUCCAGCCUGGGCGACAGAGUAAGACUCCGUCUCAAAAAAAAAAAAAAAAAAAGAAAUGCACUGUGAAAAUCCCUAUCCUGUUUUGUUCCGAUCUAAUUACUGGUGCAUGCAGCCCCCAGUCAUGUACCCGCUGCUUGCUCAGUCAAUCAUGACCGUCUCACACGCACCCCCUUAGAGUUGUGAGCCCUUAAGAGGGACAGGAAUUACUUACUCUGGGAGCUCGGCUCUUGAGACAGGAGUCUUGUCGAUGCCCCCCGCCAAAUAAACCCCUUCUUUCUUUAA
RNAcentral lists this long non-coding RNA (1502 nucleotides) under Macaca mulatta (Rhesus monkey). RNAcentral's name for it is "lncRNA (ENSMMUG00000062716.1)". The record is from RNAcentral. Lineage: Eukaryota; Metazoa; Chordata; Mammalia; Primates; Cercopithecidae.